Non-coding RNA from Paramuricea clavata, 401 nucleotides. Lineage: Eukaryota; Metazoa; Cnidaria; Anthozoa; Malacalcyonacea; Plexauridae. The record is from the annotation of a GenBank genome assembly.
UUUUGACUUUCGUGCUAGCAGCUAGUUUUCCUUUCCAGCUCAGAAAAAUUGGGAUCGAACUGAACAUUCUUCUACACUGUAAAAGUAUUAUACUUGUGCUCAAUUUUGUGAAUCUUCAAAGACAAAGUUCUGUAUAGGGUUAGUUCAGCCGUCUGCUAUCUAGCCUAGCUUCUAACAAUGAGGUUAUUUAUUUUAGGCCACAAGCCAUCUAUUUUCAUACAAAAAUUGAGUAUGACAAUGAGCCUAGAGUAUUACUCUUAUACGGUCGCUGUAGUACUGUAUAUCAUGUUUCACAGCCGUUCAAUCAUGGAAUAUUGCAAAUUCAUAAUUUUGAUUGGUUCCUCAACCAUUGAUAUAAUCCAUGGUAAAGAAAAAUACAAAACAAAAUUACAAAUCACGCA